UACGAAGGGGGCUAGCGUUGCUCGGAAUCACUGGGCGUAAAGCGCACGUAGGCGGCGUCGUAAGUCAGGGGUGGAAUCCCGGAGCUCAACUCCGGAACUGCCCUUGAAACUGCAAUGCUAGAAUCUUGGAGAGGCGAGUGGAAUUCCGAGUGUAGAGGUGAAAUUCGUAGAUAUUCGGAAGAACACCAGUGGCGAAGGCGGGUCUCUGGGCAACAACUGACGCUGAGGAGCGAAAGCGUGGGGAGCGAACAGG
RNAcentral lists this ribosomal RNA (253 nucleotides) under uncultured bacterium. RNAcentral describes it as "partial 16S ribosomal RNA". It matches the Rfam family "Bacterial small subunit ribosomal RNA", at positions 524 to 776 of the family's 1533-position model. The record is from RNAcentral.